GACGAACGCUGGCGGCGCGCCUAACACAUGCAAGUCGAACGAGCGAGAGAGAGCUUGCUUUCUCGAGCGAGUGGCGAACGGGUGAGUAACGCGUGAGGAACCUGCCUCAAAGAGGGGGACAACAGUUGGAAACGACUGCUAAUACCGCAUAAGCCCACGACCCGGCAUCGGGUAGAGGGAAAAGGAGCAAUCCGCUUUGAGAUGGCCUCGCGUCCGAUUAGCUAGUUGGUGAGGUAACGGCCCACCAAGGCGACGAUCGGUAGCCGGACUGAGAGGUUGAACGGCCACAUUGGGACUGAGACACGGCCCAGACUCCUACGGGAGGCAGCAGUGGGGAAUAUUGCACAAUGGGGGAAACCCUGAUGCAGCGACGCCGCGUGGAGGAAGAAGGUCUUCGGAUUGUAAACUCCUGUUGUUGAGGAAGAUAAUGACGGUACUCAACAAGGAAGAGACGGCUAACUACGUG
This 466-nucleotide ribosomal RNA is filed under the name uncultured bacterium. Its description in RNAcentral is "partial 16S ribosomal RNA". It matches the Rfam family "Bacterial small subunit ribosomal RNA", at positions 28 to 507 of the family's 1533-position model. The record is from RNAcentral.